Molecule: ribosomal RNA, 866 nt
Filed under: uncultured beta proteobacterium
Lineage: Bacteria; Pseudomonadati; Pseudomonadota; Betaproteobacteria
Description: bacterial SSU rRNA
Rfam family: Bacterial small subunit ribosomal RNA
Source: RNAcentral
ACGCGUACACAACAUACCCUUGACUGGGGGAUAGCGGUGGGAAACUGCCAGUAAUACCCCAUGCCCUUGCGGAGUGGCAUUAUUUUGCAAGGAAAGUUACGGCGGUUGAGGAUUGGUGUGCGUCCGAUUAGCUAGUUGGCGGGGUAACGGCCCACCAAGGCGACGAUCGGUAGGGGGUGUGAGAGCAUGGCCCCCCACACGGGUACUGAGACACGGACCCGACUCCUACGGGAGGCAGCAGUAAGGAAUAUUGGACAAUGGGCGGAAGCCUGAUCCAGCCAUGCCGCGUGAAGGAAGAAGGCGCUCAGCGUUGUAAACUUCUUUUGAAUGGGAACAAUAACCUCGACGUGUUCGGGGCUUGAGGGUACCAUUAGAAUAAGCACCGGCUAACUCCGUGCCAGCAGCCGCGGUAAUACGUAGGGUGCGAGCGUUAAUCGGAAUUACUGGGCGUAAAGCGUGCGCAGGCGGUUUUGUAAGACAGAUGUGAAAUCCCCGGGCUUAACCUGGGAACUGCGUUUGUGACUGCAAGGCUGGAGUACGGCAGAGGGGGGUGGAAUUCCACGUGUAGCAGUGAAAUGCGUAGAGAUGUGGAGGAACACCGAUGGCGAAGGCAGCCCCCUGGGCCUGUACUGACGCUCAUGCACGAAAGCGUGGGGAGCAAACAGGAUUAGAUACCCUGGUAGUCCACGCCCUAAACGAUGUCGACUAGUUGUUCGGUGCAGCAAUGCGCUGAGUAACGCAGCUAACGCGUGAAGUCGACCGCCUGGGGAGUACGGCCGCAAGGUUAAAACUCAAAGGAAUUGACGGGGACCCGCACAAGCGGUGGAUGAUGUGGAUUAAUUCGAUGCAACGCGAAAAACCUUACC